RNAcentral lists this ribosomal RNA (406 nucleotides) under uncultured bacterium. RNAcentral's name for it is "bacterial SSU rRNA". It matches the Rfam family "Bacterial small subunit ribosomal RNA", at positions 509 to 916 of the family's 1533-position model. The record is from RNAcentral.
CAGCAGCCGCGGUAAUACGAAGGGGGCUAGCGUUGCUCGGAAUUACUGGGCGUAAGGGAGCGUAGGCGGAUAGUUUAGUCAGAGGUGAAAGCCCAGGGCUCAACCUUGGAAUUGCCUUUGAUACUGGCUAUCUUGAGUACGGAAGAGGUAUGUGGAACUCCGAGUGUAGAGGUGAAAUUCGUAGAUAUUCGGAAGAACACCAGUGGCGAAGGCGACAUACUGGUCCGUUACUGACGCUGAGGCUCGAAAGCGUGGGGAGCAAACAGGAUUAGAUACCCUGGUAGUCCACGCUGUAAACGAUGAGUGCUAGUUGUCGGCAGGCAUGCCUGUCGGUGACGCAGCUAACGCAUUAAGCACUCCGCCUGGGGAGUACGGUCGCAAGAUUAAAACUCAAAGGAAUUGACGG